Molecule: ribosomal RNA, 1489 nt
Filed under: Lactiplantibacillus plantarum
Lineage: Bacteria; Bacillati; Bacillota; Bacilli; Lactobacillales; Lactobacillaceae
Description: bacterial SSU rRNA
Rfam family: Bacterial small subunit ribosomal RNA
Source: RNAcentral
GACGAACGCUGGCGGCGUGCCUAAUACAUGCAAGUCGAACGAACUCUGGUAUUGAUUGGUGCUUGCAUCAUGAUUUACAUUUGAGUGAGUGGCGAACUGGUGAGUAACACGUGGGAAACCUGCCCAGAAGCGGGGGAUAACACCUGGAAACAGAUGCUAAUACCGCAUAACAACUUGGACCGCAUGGUCCGAGCUUGAAAGAUGGCUUCGGCUAUCACUUUUGGAUGGUCCCGCGGCGUAUUAGCUAGAUGGUGGGGUAACGGCUCACCAUGGCAAUGAUACGUAGCCGACCUGAGAGGGUAAUCGGCCACAUUGGGACUGAGACACGGCCCAAACUCCUACGGGAGGCAGCAGUAGGGAAUCUUCCACAAUGGACGAAAGUCUGAUGGAGCAACGCCGCGUGAGUGAAGAAGGGUUUCGGCUCGUAAAACUCUGUUGUUAAAGAAGAACAUAUCUGAGAGUAACUGUUCAGGUAUUGACGGUAUUUAACCAGAAAGCCACGGCUAACUACGUGCCAGCAGCCGCGGUAAUACGUAGGUGGCAAGCGUUGUCCGGAUUUAUUGGGCGUAAAGCGAGCGCAGGCGGUUUUUUAAGUCUGAUGUGAAAGCCUUCGGCUCAACCGAAGAAGUGCAUCGGAAACUGGGAAACUUGAGUGCAGAAGAGGACAGUGGAACUCCAUGUGUAGCGGUGAAAUGCGUAGAUAUAUGGAAGAACACCAGUGGCGAAGGCGGCUGUCUGGUCUGUAACUGACGCUGAGGCCCGAAAGUAUGGGUAGCAAACAGGAUUAGAUACCCUGGUAGUCCAUACCGUAAACGAUGAAUGCUAAGUGUUGGAGGGUUUCCGCCCUUCAGUGCUGCAGCUAACGCAUUAAGCAUUCCGCCUGGGGAGUACGGCCGCAAGGCUGAAACUCAAAGGAAUUGACGGGGGCCCGCACAAGCGGUGGAGCAUGUGGUUUAAUUCGAAGCUACGCGAAGAACCUUACCAGGUCUUGACAUACUAUGCAAAUCUAAGAGAUUAGACGUUCCCUUCGGGGACAUGGAUACAGGUGGUGCAUGGUUGUCGUCAGCUCGUGUCGUGAAAUGUUGGGUUAAGUCCCGCAACGAGCGCAACCCUUAUUAUCAGUUGCCAGCAUUAAGUUGGGCACUCUGGUGAGACUGCCGGUGACAAACCGGAGGAAGGUGGGGAUGACGUCAAAUCAUCAUGCCCCUUAUGACCUGGGCUACACACGUGCUACAAUGGAUGGUACAACGAGUUGCGAACUCGCGAGAGUAAGCUAAUCUCUUAAAGCCAUUCUCAGUUCGGAUUGUAGGCUGCAACUCGCCUACAUGAAGUCGGAAUCGCUAGUAAUCGCGGAUCAGCAUGCCGCGGUGAAUACGUUCCCGGGCCUUGUACACACCGCCCGUCACACCAUGAGAGUUUGUAACACCCAAAGUCGGUGGGGUAACCUUUUAGGAACCAGCCGCCUAAGGUGGGACAGAUGAUUAGGGUG